Molecule: ribosomal RNA, 253 nt
Filed under: uncultured bacterium
Lineage: Bacteria
Description: partial 16S ribosomal RNA
Rfam family: Bacterial small subunit ribosomal RNA
Source: RNAcentral
UACGUAGGGGGCAAGCGUUGUCCGGAUUUAUUGGGCGUAAAGAGCGUGUAGGCGGCCUUGCAAGUCCGUUGUGAAAACUCGAGGCUCAACCUCGAGACGCCGGUGGAAACUGCAAAGCUAGAGUCCGGAAGAGGAGAGUGGAAUUCCUGGUGUAGCGGUGAAAUGCGCAGAUAUCAGGAGGAACACCGAUGGCGAAGGCAGGUCUCUGGGCCGAUACUGACGCUGAGGAGCGAAAGCGUGGGGAGCGAACAGG